CCUACGGGUGGCAGCAGUGGGGAAUAUUGGACAAUGGGGGACACCCUGAUCCAGCGACGCCGCGUGAGUGAAGAAGUAUUUCGGUACGUACAGCUCUAUCAGCAGGAAAGACAAUGACGGUCCCUGACUCAGAAGCCCCGGCUAACUACGUGCCAGCAGCCGCGGUACUACGUCGGGGGCAAGCGUUAUCCGGAUUUACUGGGUGUAAUGGGAGCGUAGAGGGGGCGCAAAGACUGGAGUGAAAUGCCGCAGCUGAACUGCGGAACUGCUUUGGAAACUGGCGAACUAGAGUGCGGGAGGGGUAGGCGGAAUUCCUGGUGUAGGAGUGAAAUCCGUAGAUAUUAGAAGGAACACCGAUAGCGUAGGCAGGUUACUGGGACGGUUCUGACACUAAGGCACGAAAGCGUAGGGAGCAAACGGGAUUAGAUACCCGUGUAGUC
RNAcentral lists this ribosomal RNA (440 nucleotides) under uncultured bacterium. RNAcentral describes it as "partial 16S ribosomal RNA". It matches the Rfam family "Bacterial small subunit ribosomal RNA", at positions 338 to 795 of the family's 1533-position model. The record is from RNAcentral.